AACGAACGCUGGCGGCAGGCUUAACACAUGCAAGUCGAACGGUUGUAGCAAUACAGCAGUGGCGCACGGGUGAGUAACGCGUGGAUAUCUGCCUUUUGGUUCGGAAUAACUCCGGGAAACUGGAGCUAAUACCGGAUGGUUCCUGCGGGAUAAAGAUUUAUCGCCAAAAGAUGAGUCCGCGUACGAUUAGCUAGUUGGUGAGGUAAUGGCUCACCAAGGCGACGAUCGUUAGCUGGUCUGAGAGGACGAUCAGCCACACUGGGACUGAGACACGGCCCAGACUCCUACGGGAGGCAGCAGUGGGGAAUAUUGGACAAUGGGGGCAACCCUGAUCCAGCCAUGCCGCGUGAGUGAUGAAGGCCUUGGGCUGUAAAGCUCUUUGGUCGGGACGAUGAUGACGGUACCCGCAGAAUAAGCCCCGGCUAACUUCGUGCCAGCAGCCGC
RNAcentral lists this ribosomal RNA (444 nucleotides) under uncultured bacterium. RNAcentral describes it as "bacterial SSU rRNA". It matches the Rfam family "Bacterial small subunit ribosomal RNA", at positions 29 to 518 of the family's 1533-position model. The record is from RNAcentral.